Long non-coding RNA from Seriola aureovittata, 975 nucleotides. RefSeq lists it as uncharacterized. The transcript has 5 exons. NCBI's taxonomy places the organism in Eukaryota, Metazoa, Chordata, Actinopteri, Carangiformes, Carangidae. The record is from RefSeq and is a predicted model, not a curated record.
GAGUGAAGAGCUUCCUUUCUCCUUUACCUGUCCCUGGGAAAUCAACCUAAGCCUGUAAUGGAAAACUGGCUGUCUCCUAACUCACUCUGAUCAUGGACCUGGAGACAGAACAACAUCAACACACAGCCCAUCACAGCGUCUUCCAUUAUGUGGCCUUUUUGACGUUUGGCGGGCAUUUCCUGUACUCUGACACCUUCAACGCCGCACUGAGGAACCGAACUGAUGGGGACUCAGGAACGACCUCCACUGCUCUUAAUGGUUCAGUGAAGACGGGAGAGGCUGACCCCGAGGAGACAGGGAUGUAAAAGCACAUUCAAGCACAGAACAUCCAAGAGGCAUCUGGCCCACUACAGUUAAUCAGCGCUCCCCACCCACGGAGUCUCUGCCCGAAGAGCAGUCACCCCAUCUGUUCCUCAGCAGCGGGGCCAGGAGGCAGAGCCUGCUGCUGACCGGGCACUGUGAUACCAAGGCCCUGAUGGAGGAGCUCAACCAGCAGCUGGCCAAACUCAGUUUCUUUCAUUUAAUUAGCUCUGGAAUUCUUGUAAGCCAUUGAGACAGUUCAGCCAGAAUGAUGAACAGAAAAACAACAGCAAUGAGGAUGAGGAUGAGGACCAUGUGCCAGGCAGUGAUAUUAACAACAGGGAGGAUCAUAUUGGCCAUCCAUAUUCAAGGAAGCAGGUCAUCCUUCAUGGGGAUCCAAGUCAACGGGCACUACCAGAUAUUGCAGCACCGCUCACAUAAAACACUAGAAACUCAGCAGCUACCACUAGGCAGUGUUCUCAGAUACUGAAUGAGUUGCAUGUGCAUGUGUGAAAGAGACAGAGUGUUUUGACUUCUUCCAUUGGCAUAACGCGGGAUGUGCUUAGACUCACAAAUGCAUUCCUCAGCACAGCCCACAGGGUCAAAAACAAACAGAAAGAUUCAGGUAGCACCUGAGUUUUCAUUCGGCUUUCCUCGUGUGUGGCUCAUUUUCAA